RNAcentral lists this ribosomal RNA (492 nucleotides) under uncultured bacterium. RNAcentral's name for it is "partial 16S ribosomal RNA". It matches the Rfam family "Bacterial small subunit ribosomal RNA", at positions 29 to 507 of the family's 1533-position model. The record is from RNAcentral.
AGUGAACGCUGGCGGUAGGCCUAACACAUGCAAGUCGAAUGGCAGCACAGUAAGAGCUUGCUCUUACGGGUGGCGAGUGGCGGACGGGUGAGGAAUACAUCGGAAUCUACUUUUUCGUGGGGGAUAACGUAGGGAAACUUACGCUAAUACCGCAUACGACCUACGGGUGAAAGCAGGGGAUCUUCGGACCUUGCGCGAUUGAAUGAGCCGAUGUCGGAUUAGCUAGUUGGCGGGGUAAAGGCCCACCAAGGCGACGAUCCGUAGCUGGUCUGAGAGGAUGAUCAGCCACACUGGAACUGAGACACGGUCCAGACUCCUACGGGAGGCAGCAGUGGGGAAUAUUGGACAAUGGGCGCAAGCCUGAUCCAGCCAUACCGCGUGGGUGAAGAAGGCCUUCGGGUUGUAAAGCCCUUUUGUUGGGAAAGAAAAGCAGCAGGUUAAUACCCCGCUGUUCUGACGGUACCCAAAGAACAAGCACCGGCUAACUUCGUG